Molecule: non-coding RNA, 29 nt
Filed under: Mus musculus (house mouse)
Lineage: Eukaryota; Metazoa; Chordata; Mammalia; Rodentia; Muridae
Source: RNAcentral
UAGGAAACAUUGGCCACUACAGGAUCAGG